CUACGGAAGGCACAGUGGGGAAUUUUGCGCAAUGGGGGAAACCCUGGCGCAGCAACGCCGCGUGAGUGAUGAAGGCUUUCGGGUCGUAAAGCUCUGUCAGAAGGGAAGAAAUGUGGGUGACUAAUAUCCAUUCCACUUGACGGUACCUUCAAAGGAAGCACCGGCUAACUCCGUGCCAGCAGCCGCGGUAAUACGGAGGGUGCGAGCGUUGUUCGGAAUUAUUGGGCGUAAAGCGCGUGUAGGCGGUUUUUUAAGUCUGAUGUGAAAGCCCUGGGCUCAACCUGGGAAGUGCAUUGGAUACUGGAAGACUUGAGUACGGGAGAGGGUAGUGGAAUUCCUAGUGUAGGAGUGAAAUCCGUAGAUAUUAGGAGGAACACCGGUGGCGAAGGCGGCUGCCUGGACCGAUACUGACGCUGAGACGCGAAAGCGUGGGGAGCAAACAGGAUUAGAAACCCCUGUAGUCCG
Molecule: ribosomal RNA, 465 nt
Filed under: uncultured bacterium
Lineage: Bacteria
Description: bacterial SSU rRNA
Rfam family: Bacterial small subunit ribosomal RNA
Source: RNAcentral